RNAcentral lists this ribosomal RNA (460 nucleotides) under uncultured bacterium. Its description in RNAcentral is "partial 16S ribosomal RNA". It matches the Rfam family "Bacterial small subunit ribosomal RNA", at positions 338 to 795 of the family's 1533-position model. The record is from RNAcentral.
CCUACGGGUGGCAGCAGUGAGGAAUAUUGGUCAAUGGGCGGGAGCCUGAACCAGCCAAGUCGCGUGAGGGAAGACGGUCCUAUGGAUUGUAAACCUCUUUAGGCGGGGAGCAAUGCCGGGCACGCGUGCCCGGAGGGAGAGUACCCGCAGAAUAAGCAUCGGCUAACUCCGUGCCAGCAGCCGCGGUAAUACGGAGGAUGCGAGCGUUAUCCGGAUUUAUUGGGUUUAAAGGGUGCGUAGGCGGAAGGUUAAGUCAGCGGUCAAAUGUCGGUGCUCAACACCGGCCUGCCGUUGAAACUGGUCUUCUUGAGUGAGCGAGAAGUAUGCGGAAUGCGUGGUGUAGCGGUGAAAUGCAUAGAUAUCACGCAGAACUCCGAUUGCGAAGGCAGCAUACCGGCGCUCAACUGACGCUGAGGCACGAAAGCGUGGGGAUCGAACAGGAUUAGAUACCCGAGUAGUC